AUGCUUGCUUAUGUUGCAUCACCAAUGACUCAUACUUGUUCAUUUCAUGCGGUUGAUGACAACCAUCUAUAUGCUUUGCACAUGAUUCAUAUUUCUUCUUGUCAUAUAGCUCCAUAUGUUGCCUCUCUCAUGCUAGAUGAUUUGCCAUGUAUUGAGUGCAACAAUGAUUCUCUUCUUGCUCAUGAGAUUGCCCCCAUAGCAUUCUCGCAUAUGUUUGGAGAUUUUGACACAAUUCUUGUGAAGCAUGCUUGUCUUACUUCUUUACACCAUGUACCUAGUGCCAUGAAUAUAGCCAUUGUUGCAUCAUAUUAUUCAUGCACUUGUGCUUCUAAUGGUUUUGUGCAAAAGAUGAGAACCAUCAUGAUGGAUGAUGUGUUUGUCUACCAUGCGCAUACUUUCUUUGUUUUGUUUUGUGCAUGUGUAGGAUACUUGGACUUUGUGUCGACUUCCACUUCACGUGAGUUGACCAUUCGAGGUCUUGAGAGCGAGCCUCAUACAUUCUACCACGACUCGCUUUCACACCAAAUUUCCUACAACUUCGGCAUUGUGAAGAAUGCACAAGGACAGACUUUCAAGGUGACAUCCUUCUUGAGCUUGGAUAUUGUGGAUCAUACUUCAUGUGUUGCUUGCACCAUUUGCACGCAUGUUUGA
This 651-nucleotide ribosomal RNA is filed under the name Triticum aestivum (bread wheat). RNAcentral describes it as "partial small subunit ribosomal RNA". The record is from RNAcentral. Lineage: Eukaryota; Viridiplantae; Streptophyta; Magnoliopsida; Poales; Poaceae.